AAACGCCUCUCUCUAUCACGUUUCUUUUUCAUGGCCUCCCACGCCCUCCUUCUAUCUGGCCUUCUACCCCAUGGCCGCCGCCAUCGCACGGAACUCCGGACCUCGCUGCUCGCUGCUGCUCGCUGCCCUCUAUCAUGAGUAGUAGGCAGACAUCAAUCAGUGGCGCUCGCUGCUACCGGCACCAUGAUAUUUUCCAACACGGUGUGGGAUCCUCAAAUACUUUGAUGGCAGCCGCCGCCAUGGGCGAUGGCAAUGAGGCCGGCACCGCUGAGAUCUCUUGGAUGAAGCGUCCUGGAGAAUCACCUAGGGAGCCUCCAUGGAGCAAUACCCACGACCACGAGGAUCUUCUCCAUUCCACCCUGAAGGCCGUUGGAGUUCUUUAGGCAGAUCUCCUUCUGGCCACCAUAUUUUUUUAUUCCAAGACGGUCUAGGCUCUUCUUCCUGCUCAUUGAUGCUACGGCCGGCCAGUUACGUCUCCUUCUGCUUUGUGUCCUUCAUGCUACGGCCGGCCAGUUACGGCCAUCAGGGUUUGCUUUUCUUCUUUGAUAGUGGUAGACCUGCAUGGUUAAUCACUCACCUGUCGAUUCAAAUACUGUUGCCCUAGCUGCUGGUUUUGAUGGUUCAGUUGUUGGGUCGAUUCAUACUGAAAAAUUAUUACUUCGGCCAUGCAAGUUCAGCUGGCAAAUUAUACAGUUAAUAUUGCUGGCUGAAGGAAGCGGAUUCGUCUGGGCAAGCAGCCCACUGAUUGUAUUAUUACUAUGUUCAUUUCGUUCUUUCUCUACUGGAAGCAAAUUUCUUAUAUGCUGAAUGAAUGCAGUCAAAAACACAAAAAGGUUAAUUCCACAUGAAUGCCACAAUGCCCGGUCUCAUGGUUCCAUGCAGUCUAUUGUUCACCAAUCUGAAAUCGGUAUUUGAUGAUCCACUUCUUUACUUAGAAUUUUAAUGAAGUCGAAGUCGUUGGCUUGCCUAUGGUUCUUUCAUUAGAAUUUGGUUCAUCUUCAUUCUUCCGGUAAGCUAUGUCGAUAUUAUUUUAAUUAGUUCCCGCGAAUGUAGACUUUGGUACGGCUAAAAAAAUGACAGGAUAGGGUGUUCAUGCACUUCUACUUAAAAUUACUAUUUAAUAUGGCAAAGUAUUUUGUGUCUUUUUUGUAACGAUCUGUCACCCUCCAGCGCAUGUGUGCCCUGUGUUAUUGUGAUGACAUGUCUUUUGGUUUAGUUGAUCCUUAGUCACUGAUUGCUUGCUGCUAGGGUGUCUGACAAGAUUUGUAUGGAUCGGAUGAUCAAUCGAGCAGGGAACACUCUACGCCGACGAGGUGCUCGAGUUGAAGCUCAUCAGAUACCAAAGAAGCGGGUUAGCUCUGCACCACUGAGGAGCAGGGAACACUCUACGCCGACGAGGUGCUCGAGUUGAAGCUCAUCAGAUACCAAAGAAGCGGGUUAGCUCUGCACCACUGAGCUGCAUAGCGAUCUGAAGUUUCAACAGGUUAAGUGGCAAGCCCAAAGACCGAUGAUUAUGUUUAUAUUAAAAGGUCCAUGAUUCUUUGUGUGCAGUAGCCCUUGGAGAUUGUAUAUAUGGACCUAUAUCAGGUGACCUGAGGUACAAGCUCUCAGUCAGUGGAUAAGAUAUCCAGCAUACGAAGAGAAUAAAAGAGGUUAUAUGACAAUUCAUGUUUUCCAGCGACCAAUGUAAUACAAUUAUUGGCGAUGGCACAACUUUGGUCUUCGUUACAGCGAGAGGUCUAACAGACUAUGUGCCAUCUGCUGUAAGAGGCACAGUUGGACAAAAUAUGUCGUUGUCGCCGAGGUACACCAGAAGCCAUCGAUCUUGACAACAUACUGUUCCCCAUCCCCAGUUCUCAAAUGAUCAGCACUAUUGAUUCAGUGACAGCAUCCAUCAGUGCUUUCAGACUGCCAGCAACUAUUCAGAAAUCUGAACAGCUUGGUUUGCCUGAAGACACGGCCACCCCAUUAGCAAGCAACGAAAAUUCGGAGGUAGAAGCCACCAAUUCAGACUUAGAAGAGUUAAGCGAAUGCAGCAAACAAUAAAUUGUUUCAACUCCCAGCAACAAUCUUACAAGGAACACUUUUUUAAUAACAGAGCAUAGGCUCCACGACAUAGGCAAACAAAAAUAGGAAAAACCCAAAAGUCAACCACCACGCCAGUAAAAAAAUGGUGGCUGCCUACAUCUGAUCUACAAGACCAGAGCUGACCCUGAACUUAUACUGUCAACUCAUAGCCAGUCUAUUUUUUGCAGUGCACCUACUGAAAAAAGGAAGUAAACAAGGAGCUGUUUCCCACCUAAAAGAAAGAGCUUAACUUACCAAGACCAAGAAGCCAUUUAUGCACUACAACCGCGGCAGUUCAGAAACUGGAGACAGGGAGUUCAAUUGAUGAAUCAGAAAUUUGUCGCCAAGUUGUCAACCUAAUUGGUCUAUGUGCCAUUCCAG
Molecule: long non-coding RNA, 2448 nt
Organism: Lolium rigidum
Lineage: Eukaryota; Viridiplantae; Streptophyta; Magnoliopsida; Poales; Poaceae
Exons: 6
Source: RefSeq, a predicted model, not a curated record